This 440-nucleotide long non-coding RNA is filed under the name Ananas comosus (pineapple). Its description in RNAcentral is "long non-coding RNA (ACOM_LNC015360)". The record is from RNAcentral. Lineage: Eukaryota; Viridiplantae; Streptophyta; Magnoliopsida; Poales; Bromeliaceae.
CCUCAAAAGUCAUAACUUCAAAAAAAAUAAAAAAUAAAAAAAGCAAAAAAAAGAAAAACUUCAAAUACCGCCCCUGUGAUUUCGCACUUUCUCACUUCAAUACCCUAUAAUUUAAAAUGUAUUAAUUUAGUACCGUGUGGUUUUAAUUUUCUCUUUUCGUCAGCUUCUUCAUUAACAUUUCGUUAAAUUAUAUAAAAAAAACGUAGAUACCCCACCUAGGUUUAUUGAAUAUUCACUUUAAUAUUAUUUUAGUUUUUACUUUGUCACUAAUUUUACAAAAAAAAAAUUAGUGACGGGAAUAAUAAAUAGAGAAAAAUAAAAUCAUGGGGUACUGAAUUGAUACACUUUAAACCACAUAAUACUAAAAUAAAAAAGUGUGAAACCACAGUUUGAAGUGUUUCCAAAAAAACACCCCUUCUCUCAUUGUUUGUCAUUUGUUC